UAUACAUGCAGUCGAGCGGACAGAUGGGAGCUUGCUCCCUGAUGUUAGCGGCGGACGGGUGAGUAACACGUGGGUAACCUGCCUGUAAGACUGGGAUAACUCCGGGAAACCGGGGCUAAUACCGGAUGGUUGUUUGAACCGCAUGGUUCAGACAUAAAAGGUGGCUUCGGCUACCACUUACAGAUGGACCCGCGGCGCAUUAGCUAGUUGGUGAGGUAACGGCUCACCAAGGCGACGAUGCGUAGCCGACCUGAGAGGGUGAUCGGCCACACUGGGACUGAGACACGGCCCAGACUCCUACGGGAGGCAGCAGUAGGGAAUCUUCCGCAAUGGACGAAAGUCUGACGGAGCAACGCCGCGUGAGUGAUGAAGGUUUUCGGAUCGUAAAGCUCUGUUGUUAGGGAAGAACAAGUGCCGUUCAAAUAGGGCGGCACCUUGACGGUACCUAACCAGAAAGCCACGGCUAACUACGUGCCAGCAGCCGCGGUAAUACGUAGGUGGCAAGCGUUGUCCGGAAUUAUUGGGCGUAAAGGGCUCGCAGGCGGUUUCUUAAGUCUGAUGUGAAAGCCCCCGGCUCAACCGGGGAGGGUCAUUGGAAACUGGGGAACUUGAGUGCAGAAGAGGAGAGUGGAAUUCCACGUGUAGCGGUGAAAUGCGUAGAGAUGUGGAGGAACACCAGUGGCGAAGGCGACUCUCUGGUCUGUAACUGACGCUGAGGAGCGAA
This 724-nucleotide ribosomal RNA is filed under the name Bacillus velezensis. Its description in RNAcentral is "bacterial SSU rRNA". It matches the Rfam family "Bacterial small subunit ribosomal RNA", at positions 50 to 757 of the family's 1533-position model. Lineage: Bacteria; Bacillati; Bacillota; Bacilli; Caryophanales; Bacillaceae. The record is from RNAcentral.